RNAcentral lists this ribosomal RNA (560 nucleotides) under uncultured bacterium. RNAcentral's name for it is "bacterial SSU rRNA". It matches the Rfam family "Bacterial small subunit ribosomal RNA", at positions 57 to 628 of the family's 1533-position model. The record is from RNAcentral.
GCAAGUCGAACGGAGCCAAGAGGAGCUUGCUUUUCUUGACUUAGUGGCGAACGGGUGAGUAACGCGUGAGUAACCUGCCCUGGAGUGGGGGACAACAGUUGGAAACGACUGCUAAUACCGCAUAAGCCCACGAUCCGGCAUCGGAUUGAGGGAAAAGGAUUUAUUCGCUUCAGGAUGGACUCGCGUCCAAUUAGCUAGUUGGUGAGGUAACGGCCCACCAAGGCGACGAUUGGUAGCCGGACUGAGAGGUUGAACGGCCACAUUGGGACUGAGACACGGCCCAGACUCCUACGGGAGGCAGCAGUGGGGGAUAUUGCACAAUGGGGGAAACCCUGAUGCAGCGACGCCGCGUGGAGGAAGAAGGUUUUCGGAUUGUAAACUCCUGUCGUUAGGGACGAUAAUGACGGUACCUAACAAGAAAGCACCGGCUAACUACGUGCCAGCAGCCGCGGUAAAACGUAGGGUGCAAGCGUUGUCCGGAAUUACUGGGUGUAAAGGGAGCGCAGGCGGACCGGCAAGUUGGAAGUGAAAACUAUGGGCUCAACCCAUAAAUUGCUUUC